RNAcentral lists this long non-coding RNA (3433 nucleotides) under Volvox carteri. RNAcentral describes it as "long non-coding RNA (VCAR_LNC002993)". The record is from RNAcentral. Lineage: Eukaryota; Viridiplantae; Chlorophyta; Chlorophyceae; Chlamydomonadales; Volvocaceae.
GAUAACCGUGGGGGGGGGCGCGUCUGCUGGCCAUUUCCGUAUCACCCCUCGGUCAAGGGCCUUUCUCAAUUCGGCUGUAACAAACUCACUGUGCUGAGUCGCGCUGCGAUGGUUAGGAAACUGCACGGCUCGCGGCCGGUCACCCGCCAUGAUAAAGUCUAGGUCACAAUCCGGCACCGCGACCCGCAGCAUUUCCCGCACUAUAGCUAGCUUGCAUCCCCGCUCCGGGGCUAGUUCUUGCCCUGGGUAGUCGCACGGCACCCACUCCAGCUGAAUUCCGCCCUGCAGGUAUCCCAGCCACCAUUUCUGUUUGUCCGUGAGGGGCUGGCCUUCGUUAGCUGCCUGAAAGAACACUCGCCACACUGCAACAUGUAGACGUAUCCUUCCUGGUUGGAAGUCUUCAGGAUCUGGGAGCAAACAGACGACCUCUUCGAGAAACUCCUGUUCAUCCCGCAGAUCUACCGCGUCCUGUUGCCCCAGCCGCUGCAACCUCUGCCAGGCUUCCUGUAGCAGCUGGAGUGCCUCCCUGCCCCCAGCGUUGCGGGCACUCGCUUCCCAGGCUGGUGCUAGUCCUACACCGCUGGAUUUCCGCCCUGUCGGCUGGUGACUCACCCACUGGUCGUCUUCGCAAGAGUCAUCUUCCAACGACAGCAACUCGGUCGGAUCCCUUCCGUCGCCAUCCUGAGUGUCUGGCGGGUAACCCACGUCAGGUUUCCUGUCAUCGUCCCUUGCCGUUCCCUGCGUGCUCUCAGUCGACCUGGUUAGCAUAGGCCUCUGGGCUUGGGUCUCCUAUAAACCGAAUAAUAACCGGUGGGGCGGGAAACAGGAUAAGAGGGUCUUGGAGCUUACACUUAGGUGUCCAAAAGGCAGAGCUGCCCUCUUCCAUACCAAGCUCCGCACCCUGCUGUCCCCAGCCCCUGAAAUGGCAGUCAUGAGCCGCCCGUCCAACACCUGGACCGCGGCAGGCUUUUAUUCCAGCCAUUCCCACCGACAGAACCGGCCCACCAGCAGCUACGAGACCAGAACAGUCGUGUCGGCAGCUGCAUGUGGUGCCUAUUCGAGGCACACACGGAGGCCAAUGUCGGGCGCGGGGCCACCGUGCGCUUCCGUGGCUACACCCAAGCAGUCAGCCAGCACUUCGUAAAGCGGAAUGCAGGCAAGAGCCUGAAGGUCGGCGCCCGGGCUCUCAAGAAGACCCAUCGGCAUUUCGUCAGCGCGGGCAGUGUCAUGCAGGCGAUGUACAGGAUGCUCCACCUUGGGACUCCACACAAGAUCACGCAGAAGCAGUUCGAUGAGGCGGCGCUCCAGACUGGGUGCAAGGGCCUGACUGCCUUUGCGGCCACUGCCGUACGUCGACCUGUCGUGCCUCUUCACCGUCUCNNNNNNNNNNNNNNNNNNNNNNNNNNNNNNNNNNNNNNNNNNNNNNNNNNCACACACGGGGUUCGCUAAUAGCCGAGAAAGCAAAUACGACCAGGGGCUUGCCUGGAAAAAACACCUUCGUCUGUCAGAGAGUUUGCUACUCUACCUAUGUAAUGUACUUCUUCUAGUUACACGGUUGCUCGCCACACUGCCCCCCUCCACCCAUGCAGCAAGAGCUACCGCAUGGAGGACUGGCUGCACUUCGUUGAGACGUUCUCCAGCUACAUCUUCAAGGGGGACGUGCUGCCCGAGGCCUUGCGGGCCCUGUGUUGGAGCCUGUGCAGCACGGUCACGCACUACUUCUGGCCGCGGCCCCGCGACGAGACCCGUGAGCAGUUCCUGGUGGCAGCCAAGGCGGCUGCAUGCAAGCUCAGAGCUUACACGACCAGGCUGGAGGAGUUGGAGGUGCCGGGCUACAUGUUCACGGUCAACCUGCAUAUCUGCGUAUGCUGGCUGUACUCCGACCUGCCGGUGGAACGCAUGAUGCAGCAAAUGAAGACGCAAGGCGGAAGGAUGGUGUCACAGGCACCCGAGAAGCACUACGCGCAGUGGCUGUGCCUGAUGCGGGCCUCCGAGUCGCUCACCGAGGCAGACCCCGGGACCGGGGCCAAACACACGACCAACCAGCAGCUUGAGAGGAUGUUGGCACGGUGCGCAGUGAACACCGAGGCUGCCUGGUUUGAUAAACCAGGAGCCAACGGUUACCUGCUUGGACGAGGCCACAUGGUCUACCCGAGUCCAGAACGAGUGGCACAAGUCCGGGCAGCCAUGGCGAGCCUAGUGCACUGGUAUGCCCUGGCAUUCAAGGAUGUGGCUUCCUGGACAUUGGGUCCCAGUGCGAGCUACGAACUGGACACGGACCGCCUGGAUAGGGUUCUCAUGUCUACACCACCUGACUGUCCCAAGGCCCGCUCCUNNNNNNNNNNNNNNNNNNNNNNNNNNNNNNNNNNNNNNNNNNNNNNNNNNUUCGUACUUCACAGGCCGGUACUUCAAGAAACAGUUAAUAUACAUCGGAUUAAUACAGAGGCGCAGCUUGCCGUCUUUUUCCACUACCCGCAAGCCAUUGAUAACCGUGGGGGGGGGCGCGUCUGCUGGCCAUUUCCGUAUCACCCCUCGGUCAAGGGCCUUUCUCAAUUCGGCUGUAACAAACUCACUGUGCUGAGUCGCGCUGCGAUGGUUAGGAAACUGCACGGCUCGCGGCCGGUCACCCGCCAUGAUAAAGUCUAGGUCACAAUCCGGCACCGCGACCCGCAGCAUUUCCCGCACUAUAGCUAGCUUGCAUCCCCGCUCCGGGGCUAGUUCUUGCCCUGGGUAGUCGCACGGCACCCACUCCAGCUGAAUUCCGCCCUGCAGGUAUCCCAGCCACCAUUUCUGUUUGUCCGUGAGGGGCCGGCCUUCGUUAGCUGCCUGAAAGAACACUCGCCACACUGCAACAUGUAGACGUAUCCUUCCUGGUUGGAAGUCUUCAGGAUCUGGGAGCAAACAGACGACCUCUUCGAGAAACUCCUGUUCAUCCCGCAGAUCUACCGCGUCCUGUUGCCCCAGCCGCUGCAACCUCUGCCAGGCUUCCUGUAGCAGCUGGAGUGCCUCCCUGCCCCCAGCGUUGCGGGCACUCGCUUCCCAGGCUGGUGCUAGUCCUACACCGCUGGAUUUCCGCCCUGUCGGCUGGUGACUCACCCACUGGUCGUCUUCGCAAGAGUCAUCUUCCAACGACAGCAACUCGGUCGGAUCCCUUCCGUCGCCAUCCUGAGUGUCUGCCGGGUAACCCACGUCAGGUUUCCUGUCAUCGUCCCUUGCCAUUCCCUGCGUGCUCUCAGUCGACCUGGUUAGCAUAGGCCUCUGGGCUUGGGUCUCCUAUAAACCGAAUAAUAACCGGUGGGGCGGGAAACAGGAUAAGAGGGUCUUGGAGCUUACACUUAGGUGUCCAAAAGGCAGAGCUGCCCUCUUCCAUACCAAGCUCCGCACCCUGCUGUCCCCAGCCCCUGAAAUGGCAGUCAUGAGCCGCCCGUCCAAC